AAAAACCUGGUUGCACCAGCCUACAAAACAGCUGAUACAUUUUGAUUUGCAGCCUUUCUUUAGCCCAGCAGUAGAGUUUGGUGUCAGAAACUGAGCUGUUUGCUGCUGCUACUUCCUGAGGUGGGUCAGCGGGUGUUUAAAGCAGUGAUGUGACUUUACCCCGAGAGAAAGGGGUGGGGGUGGGGGGAGGGGAAGUGUGUGUAUGUGUGGGGGUCAGGGUGUGUGAUCACUGAACCGCCCAGAGCACGAAAACAGACCCAGGGAGUGAAGACGCGGCAGGCAGAGUAACCGAAGGAACCGUUGAGGAGAAAAGAGGGACUCCGAGAAACCGCAGGGGAGGGAGAGAGAGCGAGGACAGGAGCAUGGAGGAACACGAAGGACCCAUCCUCCACAGCCCUGAUGAAGGCCAAGCCAUCUGUCCCGCAGAAAACAAGCCAGAGAGAGAGAAGGUCACGCUGUGGACACAGGCACUCCUGCUUGUGGCCAUAUUAGCGCU
RNAcentral lists this long non-coding RNA (496 nucleotides) under Lepisosteus oculatus (spotted gar). Its description in RNAcentral is "lncRNA (ENSLOCG00000021793.1)". The record is from RNAcentral. Lineage: Eukaryota; Metazoa; Chordata; Actinopteri; Semionotiformes; Lepisosteidae.